RNAcentral lists this small RNA (798 nucleotides) under Pan troglodytes (chimpanzee). RNAcentral's name for it is "processed transcript". Lineage: Eukaryota; Metazoa; Chordata; Mammalia; Primates; Hominidae. The record is from RNAcentral.
AGAGGUUGAGGACGGUGCCCGGGCCUGGAAUGGCAGUGCCGAGGGUCCAGGCAAGGUGGAGCGUGAGGACAGGGGCCCUGGGACAUCGGGGAUCCCAGUGAGGAGCCAGGGGGCAGAGGGCCUGCUGGCCAGGAUCCACCAUGGAGACCGAGGAGGGAGCCGCACCGCGCUGCCCAUUCCCUGCCAGACCUUCCCAGCCUGCCACCGCAAUGGAGACUUCACGGGAGGCUACCGCCUGGGGCGCUCGGCCUCCACCUCCGGAGUCCGGCAGGUCGUGCUCCACACACCCCGGCCCUGCAGCCAGCCCAGGGAUGCCCUGAGCCAGCCCCACCCCGCGCUGCCGCUGCCUCUGCCCCUGCCGCCCCAGCCGGCCCGCGAGCGUGACGGGAAGCUGCUGGAGGUGAUUGAGCGCAAGCGCUGCGUGUGCAAGGAGAUCAAGGCGCGCCACCGCCCGGACCGAGGCCUCUGCAAGCAGGAGAGCAUGCCCAUCCUCCCCAGCUGGCGGCGGGGGCCCGAGCCCCGCAAGUCCGGCACCCCGCCCUGCCGCCGGCAGCACACGGUCCUCUGGGACACCGCCAUCUGAGGCGGGCGGGGGGGUACCGGGGCGCCUGGACUGGGGAGGGGGCGGGCACGCCUGGCUCUCCCGGGAGCCUCGCCUUGAGAGACAUUGAAGGACUACGUGGGAGAGUGCCAGGGAGAACCCCUGCCCUCCAACCUACCCCCCGGGAUGGGGAGAGUCUGCCAGGCCCAUUGGGCUUAGGAUGCCAACAGCGCUGCUGAGAAACUUGGAGGAGGAGG